Molecule: unclassified non-coding RNA, 1247 nt
Filed under: Hevea brasiliensis (rubber tree)
Lineage: Eukaryota; Viridiplantae; Streptophyta; Magnoliopsida; Malpighiales; Euphorbiaceae
Source: RNAcentral
UACCUGACAAAUUAAGUCAACUAAUUACUUGCUAUGCGUUUUCUACAAACUAGUGGUUUUUAUCUUUUCAUACGGAAAUUGCUUCACAAAGAAGGCCACAAAUGAUGAAAUCCCAUCCAUGAAUUCACUUCAGGCUCUAUGGGUAUCUCAUUUUCAGGUUCUAACAAUGGUUCAGCUGCAUCAUCUGAUAAAUUUUGAUGGUUUCCAUCCCUGGUUGUCUCCAGGCCAAGUUCAUUUUCCAAGUAUUGUAGCCACUUCCUAUUUUCAGCUUGUCCAUUAACGUAUUCAACUCCAAGACUUGAGCUGUGGCCAGUCUCAACAUUACGUAAUUGGACUUCUUCAUUAGUUUGCAGGGAAUUUAAGCCAUCUAACAUGUUCCAAAAAUCCAGAUCUGACUCGAAAGGUAUCUCAAUUGCUGCAAUAUCUUGGAUCUCUGGUUUGUUCACCUCCUUUAAUGGAACAUCAUAAUUAGGUCCUGAAAAGUUGAAAAGCGAACCCAUUUGAUCAUCAUCUGGCUUAGAAACAUCAACUUGACUACUGUUGAUUGUGACAUUGGAAUUAUGGGAAGAAGAAGAGGAACUUGACAAUUCUUUGGCUUCCUUAUUAAUCGGUCUAAGUUCCUGUAAAUCGUCCAAGACACGAGGCCUCUUGGUCAUAGAGCUAUGCUUCCAUUGAUGAUCAAGUUCUAUAAUUGCCAUAUUUCUUUUCCCACUUGAAAUGAUUGUGCUGGAAGAAGAAUAUGAAGAGGACGAGGAGGUAGAAGAUGAUUCCUUUGAUUCUUCCCCGUUAGAGUCUGCAGGUUCUUUAUUGAAUGGCAACCUUUUCUUCAAAUGAGUGUUCCAGACAUUCUUGAUCUCAUUAUCGGUUCUACCCGGCAAAUGGGAUGCAAUUUUAGACCACUUGUUCCCCAAAGUUUGGUGCAUUUUUAUUAUGGUGUCCUCUUCUUCUUUGGUGAAGUUCCCUCUCUUUACGUCAGGUCUUAGGUAAUUAAUCCAUCUCAAACGACAACUUUUCCCGCAUCUUAACAACCCUGCUUGUUUAGGAAGAGCUCUCCAGUUUUCAUGUCCAUGCUUCUGAAUGAAAGUGACGAGCCUCAAGUCCUCUGCAGGACUCCAUGGACCCUUCUUUACUUGACUCUUAUCACAGCAGGGUGCUCUUCCUUUGCCCAUCUCUCUCAACACUGAUAUCUAUCUAUGAGUGUGAUAUAUAUCAGGAUUCAAUUUUAUAUAUAGACUCUUUUAUCAUCC